RNAcentral lists this ribosomal RNA (468 nucleotides) under uncultured bacterium. RNAcentral describes it as "partial 16S ribosomal RNA". It matches the Rfam family "Bacterial small subunit ribosomal RNA", at positions 28 to 507 of the family's 1533-position model. The record is from RNAcentral.
GACGAACGCUGGCGGCGUGCUUAACACAUGCAAGUCGAACGGAAAGGCCCUGCUUUUGUGGGGUGCUCGAGUGGCGAACGGGUGAGUAACACGUGAGUAACCUGCCUUUGACUUUGGGAUAACUUCAGGAAACUGGGGCUAAUACCGGAUAGGUGCUCCUGCUGCAUGGUGGGGGUUGGAAAGUUUCGGCGGUUGGGGAUGGACUUGCGGCUUAUCAGCUUGUUGGUGGGGUAGUGGCUUACCAAGGCUUUGACGGGUAGCCGGCCUGAGAGGGUGACCGGCCACAUUGGGACUGAGAUACGGCCCAGACUCCUACGGGAGGCAGCAGUGGGGAAUAUUGCACAAUGGGCGGAAGCCUGAUGCAGCAACGCCGCGUGCGGGAUGACGGCCUUCGGGUUGUAAACCGCUUUCGCCUGUGACGAAGCGUGAGUGACGGUAAUGGGUAAAGAAGCACCGGCUAACUACGUG